This 468-nucleotide ribosomal RNA is filed under the name uncultured bacterium. RNAcentral describes it as "partial 16S ribosomal RNA". It matches the Rfam family "Bacterial small subunit ribosomal RNA", at positions 28 to 507 of the family's 1533-position model. The record is from RNAcentral.
GACGAACGCUGGCGGCGUGCUUAACACAUGCAAGUCGAACGGAAAGGCCCUGCUUUUGUGGGGUGCUCGAGUGGCGAACGGGUGAGUAACACGUGAGUAACCUGCCCUUGACUUUGGGAUAACUUCAGGAAACUGGGGCUAAUACCGGAUAGGAUCUCCUGCUGCAUGGUGGGGGUUGGAAAGUUUCGGCGGUUGGGGAUGGACUCGCGGCUUAUCAGCUUGUUGGUGGGGUAGUGGCUUACCAAGGCUUUGACGGGUAGCCGGCCUGAGAGGGUGACCGGCCACAUUGGGACUGAGAUACGGACCAGACUCCUACGGGAGGCAGCAGUGGGGAAUAUUGCACAAUGGGCGGAAGCCUGAUGCAGAAACGCCGCGUGCGGGAUGACGGCCUUCGGGUUGUAAACAGCUUUCGCCUGUGACGAAGCGUGAGUGACGGUAAUGGGUAAAGAAGCACCGGCUAACUACGUG